RNAcentral lists this small RNA (745 nucleotides) under Pan troglodytes (chimpanzee). RNAcentral's name for it is "retained intron". The record is from RNAcentral. Lineage: Eukaryota; Metazoa; Chordata; Mammalia; Primates; Hominidae.
GGUUGCUCCCUUUCUAUGGGUCAGUAUUGGUGCAAGAACUGGAAACCAGCCCUUGGAGAAUAGUUAUACAUUGGCCAUGAUUUUCCACAGCCCUGGAAAUGCACAAUUCUAUCCUCCUACCAGGAUGAUUGUUAAGUUUUAGCUAACAUUUGAUUAUAAAAGGCCGUAAGUAUGAGUAUCUCUGAGAUAAUUUGUGUAUUGGAAAGAGGUGUGUAAUAGCACUUUUUUAAAAAAAACCUAGGUGUGAAGGAAUUACAAGUCCAGAAGGCUCAAAAUCUAUAGUGGAAGGAAUCAUAGAGGAAGAAGAAGAAGAUGAGGAAGGAAGUGAGUCUAUAAGCAAGAGGAAAAAGGAAGAUGACAUGGAGACCAAGAAAGACCAUCCAUACACCUGGAGAAUUGAACUGGCAAAAACAGAAAAAUACUGGGACGGCUGGUUCCGAGGCUUAUCCAAUCUCUUUCUUAGUUGUCCCAUUCCUAAAUUGCUGCUCUUGGCUGGUGUUGAUAGAUUGGAUAAAGAUCUGACCAUUGGCCAGAUGCAAGGGAAGUUCCAGAUGCAGGUCCUACCCCAGUGUGGCCAUGCAGUCCAUGAGGAUGCCCCUGACAAGGUAGCUGAAGCUGUUGCCACUUUCCUGAUCCGGCACAGGUUUGCAGAACCCAUCGGUGGAUUCCAGUGUGUGUUUCCUGGCUGUUAGUGACCUGCUGUCCACCCCUCCUCAACAUCGAGCUCUGUUGUAAAUACGUCGCA